CUUUCCAAGGAGCUCCGCCUCUCCUAACCAAACCAAGCUGCUGAUUUGACUCCGCUAAGGUGUCGACUCCUUUGUUUCUGGUAGCUUCUGGCGCCUACCAUGUUUGACUCCAAACGGAGUCCACCUCUUCAGCCGCGUCUCCUGGUACUUGGGUAUCUCCUCAGAGUUGCCGGCUCUGUAAGCUCCUGGGGCCUACGAUUGCUACAAGGGUCAUGACAGUGCAUCAGGUCUAAAGGUCAGUCUCGGGGAGCCGAACACUGCAGCAGAGCCGUGCUAUACCGCGGUACUGCGGCCCACAGAUCAGCACAGAGACGCGCAGGUCUCCCGAAAGUCAUCUCGUGGUCUCACUUCAGAGACAAGGAAGCAGCAGGAGAAGGAGCUGAUGGUAGCAUCUUUAACCACCAUCAGCAAGCAGGCCCCACCCACCAUGUGCACAGUAUGCACCUACCCAACGCAUGGCCCGGGUGUGCUCUAGGCGGUCAGCACGCCCCGGAUGUGGACACGGAGAGGCCGGCCGCUCUCUUGCUUUACACACAGAUGCCCACGUAGAAGAGCAGCAGCGGCAGCAAGUUUUGCUGCCUACUCCCGGCUGUAAGGGGAUUCAGUGAGGGAGCUGAGUGGGGCCUCUUUUUUCAGAACUGCCUGCUCUCGGUUUUCUGCUCCUAAAAGGCUGUAAUUACAACGCAUCAGCUGGCGACGUGCACUUGGUGCAGAAAAUAGACAAUGUCCGUUACUGCUGAAGAAGAGUGAUUGAAGGGCUGGUUGCCCUGCUUCCUUUCUUAAUGAGUUCCUGCCUGUCAUUAAACAAAUGGUGUAUGUUUAAAAAAAAUGGAUGCAGCUGAUGCCAGCUGCUGAGGAAUAGUCUAGAGGCCAAGGAUGCCCAUAGAUGAAGGGGUCACCAAGCAAAGCGGCCGUGGUCACAUGGGCCAGCUCCUCGAUGGCAGCCAGAUGUGGAGGCUCCUUCAAGAACACCUGUGAGGCGGGGACGCUUUGGCCAGCUUCUGUGACGGUGAAUUUUCUGUGCCAACCGGGCCAGGCUCUGGCCCAGGAUCUGCUAUGAUAUCAGACAUCUCCACUGGGCACUUGAAGUGCCGACCCUCUGUGUAUGUCCGGUUGGUUAAGCCAGACCUCGGAAUGGGGAUGUCACAGGCGGGACCCCAACAUAACAAACACAAUGUGCCGGGUCCUGCCUGACCCGCUUUUAGAAAAGAGACCCAGCUCUUGUCAUUCCAGAUGUGUCGUUAGCUAUCACACCAAGACCACACACGGACUUUGCCUGGCUUCCGGAAGUGCCAGGUGUUAAAAACAGACUGCUGUAGAACCCGGGAAGCCAACCCAAGAGCCUUGAGUCUGAGCCUACAAGAGGGGUGGAUCUACAGACCCCUCCUCCGUGCUGUAACGCCCUAGGCGUGACUCUCGGUGGCGGCGUGUGGGAGGGUGGGCGCUCUCGGUGGCCAGAAAGACAGUGUCACUGAGACUCCCAGGAAACUGCCACUUGAGUUGUCCUCGCAGAGAAUUUCUGUGCACCCAGAAAACUGAAAGGAGAAGAGAGCAAUGGUUUUCAGUCCCACCCAUCGACCUGAGGGAAGUGCCCUGAGCACGUGGUGCCCUCUCCUGUAGGUAAGGUCGGGGCCGCAGCCCUGCCCUUGCUUCGGCAGUUAGCAUUCCAACGGGGUUCCCUGGAGCCCUCAGGAAACUCGUUACAGCUGCCAUUCCAAAGGCUGCACGGUUCCCAUCACAGAGUCGCCCGCUGUUCUGUGCGGCUGAGCCACUUACGGGUGGGCAGCCAGUUGUGGGAAAAAGACGGGCGGACAGGGUGGCACCGGGGAGGGGACAAGAUCAAGGUGGAAAGGGGGGCAUUUGACAGAGUAAGUUCGGUCCACAUGUUAAUAAGUACUCAGCCUUCCCUCAGAGUCUCCCUUAACACAGGUGGGUGUUUUCAUAGCAACGGGAAGCACAAAAGAAUUGAGGAAUGCAAAUUGUCCUCAUGUCCCUCGCUCCUGACUGCCAACGGCACCACCUGGUGCCAGGAUGGAGCUACUGCAGGAAAAGCAGCCCAAGCUGCUGGUUGGGGGGGGGCAGAAGGGGGAGAGGGCGUCUUCAGACAUCCCAAAGGAAGAGAUGAGUGCCUCUGUUCACCCCGAGGUCGUUAGACGAGGUCACCCUGUAGUCACUGGACUAACUCAUCCCAUGGUCACCGGGCUGGGUCACUAGAUUAGGUCAUGGCCAUCGGGGCAGGACACCCAGCCAUCACUGGGAUAGUUUACCCAGCGGUAACCAAUCAAGGUGGCCUGUGGCAACUGGCCCUCCGUGCUGACUCCUUUGAUUGUGGAAUCACUACAUGCCUGUAUAGCUUUGUUCUAACCAUCGUUUUCCGGAUGUGUAACCUAUGCCACACAAGGCUGGGGGGGUGGGACACAGUCCCUGUGUCCUCUAAUCACUUCCCAGCUAAGGGGCUUUGUGGACUCUGGGAAUGCUACAGUGCUACGCAAGAAGCCUCUCAACAGCACACACCUCUCAGUGUCUCGGGGAGGAUGUUUCAGCCGACGUGAGGGGUUCAUUCGGCCUCACACGGAGGACAGUUUUACUAGUUUAAGAGGAAAACCCUGCUUGGUGCGGUGCUCGCGCCUUGAAUCCCAGCACUCGAGAGGCAGAGGCGGGCUGGUCACUGUGAGAAUGAGGGCAGCCUGGUCUACGCAGUGAGUUUCAGGCCAGGUAGGGCUACACAGUGAGAACCUGUCACCACCAUCACCACCAACACCACCGUCAUCACCGUCAUUAUUAUUUGGAGCGUCUAUUGCUGCGAAGAGACACCAUGACCACAGCAACUCUUGUAAAGGAAACCAUUUAAUUGGGGUGGCUUAUUUAUAGUUUCAGAGGUUUAGUCUUAGUCCAUCAUCAUCACGCUUUUCAACAGACAUGGUGCUGGAGUCGUAGCUGAGAGUCCUACAUUUUACAGGCAACAGAAAGUCAACUGAGACGCUGGGUGGUGUCCUGAGCACAGGAAACCUCGAAGUCCGCCCCCACAGUGACACCCUCCCUCCAGCAAGGCCACACCCCCACCCCA
Molecule: long non-coding RNA, 3067 nt
Organism: Mesocricetus auratus (golden hamster)
Lineage: Eukaryota; Metazoa; Chordata; Mammalia; Rodentia; Cricetidae
Exons: 3
Source: RefSeq, a predicted model, not a curated record